This is an RNA transcript of Eurytemora carolleeae, 1732 nucleotides long. It is a transcript of the gene named F-box only protein 28, with no coding region annotated. NCBI's taxonomy places the organism in Eukaryota, Metazoa, Arthropoda, Copepoda, Calanoida, Temoridae. The transcript has 7 exons. The record is from RefSeq and is a predicted model, not a curated record.
CAUUUAUAGUUUUAUACUUUACAGAUGGAAAAUAAAAUGGCGCUGGAUACACUUCCGGACCUGGUUCUGGAGAAUAUUCUCAAGUAUUUCUCCUAUGAUGAAAUUGCGAAGUUUCGCUCUAUUAGCACCAAGUUCAACCUUAUAUGCAAGUCAAUGCUGACCAAAGGGUUCAAGGCGGUGGAGAAGUAUCAUCUCAAAUGUUUGAAGGAGAUGAAGGGUAAACUCCCCAGGAGAGAAUCUGAAAGGAGAGAUCAUCCCCUGGCGAGACACUGUGAUAUCCUGACAGCUAUUGAGACGAGGAUCUCCCUGCUAGGAAUGACGUUCAUGAAGUUUAUAGAGUUGGAUCUCUGCUGUUUUAUCCCAGGGAAGGUUAUUGAUGAGAUUUAUUCUGUUCUCAGGAAUAUUCAGAGCAUCAAGAAUCCGAACAGAUCUUGUGAAGUUCUCCAGGAACUGCGAGAUAUCAGCUCUAUGGCGAUGGAGUACUUUGAUGAGAAGAUAGCUCCUGGUUUAAGAUUGUAUCCUGCAUCUCCGAACCGUCUAAACAGCGGAUAUUUCUCUGGAAUAUUCUCUUCCGGGACGGGAUUCUCUCUUAGUAUGAGAUACUCUGAUAGUUUAAGUCCUCCUAGUACACCUCUCUGCAGACUUCCUCUAAACCAGGCAGUUUCUGAACCUGUACCAAGAGCUAGGCCAAGUUUCAUGCGCGCUCUUCAAACCACCGCAAAAACUCCUAACCGAAAACCGUCCGUAAAAGCGAGUCGUCUGGUCCGCGACCUCAAGAAGCAGGCAGACUCCUACAAAACUGCCGUGGAGUCCCAGAACAAGAAGAUGUUGGAAUUGGACCGGAGAAUCGACCAACAGAACGAGCUGAUCAAUGAGCAGAACGCCAGGUUGGCAGAGCAGGAGGAGAAGUUGGCACAGAUGAGCCGAAGACUGUCGGAGAACACGUCUCAGUUCACAGAGAUGGAUGAGGGAAAGAGCAAGAUGAUGACCAAGAUUGAUCUAGGGAUGAGAAUGCAUCCUUGCUCUAGUAGCAGCUCACAGCCUGCACUGAGUUGUGAAACCUUACCCCGAGGGGAAAAUACUAAGUCUAGGUUCGGAGAAGAUGAGAAUAUAACUCGUCCAAGGAAACGGGGAAGAUCUGAUGAUAUAAAGAAGGAGGAUACAGCGACGGCCUCAGGAACUCCUAAACGCGUCAGAAAAUAAACCUCCACUAUCAAAUUUAACCAAGCUGAUCUAACUUCAUUCAAGAUUCAUUUUAUAAAACCACCCUAUGUUCUACUGAAGUUAAAACCUUUCUUAAUUCCAAAUAAUUGACCCGUAUUGUCAUGCACAAUGUUUAUUUUUUACCCUGUUCUGAUCCGGAACCAUAAAUACAAAUUUUCAGAUUGAAAUUGUAGAAUAAUCGCUUGAUGUCUUAUUUGUUUUCACCAAUUUUUAUUACCUAUCUCAAGCCAAAAUUAGUUCUAAUUUAUUAUUUAUAUUUGAAUAAUAAUGGCGCCAAACAACAAUAAAAAUUGUCUAAAAUCAUCCUGUUGUUUAGAUACUAGGGAAGGAAGCAUUUCAAUUGCCUUUAAUAUUAUUGACUUAAAUUUUGCUAAUGUACAUUAUUUAAUUUGUGCAGCACAUUGUUUUGUAUGAAUGAAACAAACCUUUUUCUAGAUUCAAAUCUUUUUUGUCUUAUAUAUAUAUACCGCAGAAUAUUUCAUAUUUCAAUAAAUUAUUUUACUAUUUU